RNAcentral lists this transfer RNA (74 nucleotides) under Candidatus Dormiibacterota bacterium. RNAcentral describes it as "tRNA-Gln". It matches the Rfam family "tRNA". From Rfam's summary of the family: Transfer RNA (tRNA) molecules are approximately 80 nucleotides in length. Their secondary structure includes four short double-helical elements and three loops (D, anti-codon, and T loops). Lineage: Bacteria; Bacillati; Candidatus Dormiibacterota. The record is from RNAcentral.
UGGGGAGUGGCCAAGUGGUACGGCAGCGGACUUUGGAUCCGCCAUCGCAGGUUCGAUCCCUGCCUCCCCAGCCA